UACAGAGGUCUCGAGCGUUGUUCGGAUUCAUUGGGCGUAAAGGGCGCGUAGGCGGCGGGGUAAGUCUGGUGUGAAAUCUCGGAGCUCAACUCCGAAAUUGCACUGGAUACUGCUCUGCUAGAGGGCUGGAGAGGAGAUCGGAAUUCACGGUGUAGCAGUGAAAUGCGUAGAUAUCGGGAAGAACACCCGUGGCGAAGGCGGCUCUCUGGGACGGUACUGACGCUGAGACGCGAAAGCGUGGGGAGCAAACAGG
RNAcentral lists this ribosomal RNA (253 nucleotides) under uncultured bacterium. RNAcentral's name for it is "partial 16S ribosomal RNA". It matches the Rfam family "Bacterial small subunit ribosomal RNA", at positions 524 to 776 of the family's 1533-position model. The record is from RNAcentral.